RNAcentral lists this ribosomal RNA (234 nucleotides) under uncultured bacterium. RNAcentral's name for it is "partial 16S ribosomal RNA". It matches the Rfam family "Bacterial small subunit ribosomal RNA", at positions 118 to 351 of the family's 1533-position model. The record is from RNAcentral.
UGAGUAACCUGCCCUUAACUCUGGGAUAAGCCUGGGAAACUGGGUCUAAUACCGGAUAUGACUCCUCAUCGCAUGGUGGGGGGUGGAAAGCUUUAUUGUGGUUUUGGAUGGACUCGCGGCCUAUCAGCUUGUUGGUGAGGUAAUGGCUUACCAAGGCGACGACGGGUAGCCGGCCUGAGAGGGUGACCGGCCACACUGGGACUGAGAUACGGCCCAGACUCCUACGGGAGGCAG